GACAGAGGUGCCAAGCGUUAGGCGGAAUCACUGGGCUUAAAGCGUGUGUAGGUGGAUUUGUAAGUACCUUGUGAAAUCCCUCAGCUCAACUGUGGAACUGCUCGGUAUACUGCGAAUCUUGAGCCACUUAGGGGCAACCGGAACAAAUGGUGGAGCGGUGAAAUGCGUAGAUAUCAUUUGGAACGCCAAUGGUGAAAACAGGUUGCCGGGAGUGUGCUGACACUGAGACACGAAAGCCAGGGGAGCGAACGGG
RNAcentral lists this ribosomal RNA (253 nucleotides) under uncultured bacterium. RNAcentral describes it as "partial 16S ribosomal RNA". It matches the Rfam family "Bacterial small subunit ribosomal RNA", at positions 524 to 776 of the family's 1533-position model. The record is from RNAcentral.